UUUUCCACAGACGUAUACUCACAACGGUGCGUCUUGCCUUCGUUUCUUUCCUCCAAGAUCAGCAUUCGUUUAAUCCCUCCACCUAUAAGGUCUUCGGUAUCUUCCUCAAUGUAAGUCUAGAAUCCAGACGAGAGAGAGAGAGCAAUACAACAAUCCAACACAGCGUACCCGGUGAGCCUAACUCAGCGCUCCAUACACACCAACAACAGGGAUACUAAGCACACAAACUGUGGUUCAAACUGCUCUAAAAUACUCUCCUGAAUGUCGUCCUCAUCCAAUCACCCGGCGCUCCUGUCAAUAACUCUCAGCUGUAUGUAAUUCAGCUGAUUACAGCGUCCGCGGCGCUACCGGAUGUCCGGUGUCUUCUCUUACCGGCCCGGGCGGAAACAUCCGGGCGGAACCAAACUUGCCCAAUUUUUGGUUCCGCCUAAAAGAUCGUCACUCCUGUGACAGUACUAUUUUGGUUAUAUCAUAACGUUCCUGAUAUGACUGAAGGAUGACAUUCCAUAUUGGUUAUCCUGUGGUCACAUAAGAACGUUACAGAAAGGACAUUUGAAACAUUAACAGAACAUUCCCACAUGGUAUUAUUUUGGUCAUAUCAUAACGUUCCUGAUAUGACUGUAGGAAGACGUUCCAUAUUGGUUAUGCUGUGGUCACAUGGCAACGUUACAAAGAGGACAUUUGGAACAUUAAUAGAAUGUUCUCACAUGGUCCUCUGUUGGUCGUUUAAUAAUGUUCCUGAUAUCACUAGGAGGACAAAAUAUGAAAUUACAGUUAGAGCAUUUUAUUUUUAUAGGCAGUUAAUAAAAAGGAUGUGUCAAUGUGCAGUGGACCAUACAAACAAAGUAAUAAAUAAAUGAUUUCAGAAUGAAGAAAAAUAAAAGAGUGAUUCAGUCUGCACUAUCGUACAUCAGACAAAGACAAAUUAAAUAAUUAAAUAAGACUUUACAUUAAAUUGUGUUAACAAGCACAAAAAUACUAGUAAAUAAUAUUAUACUAAUAUGUAUUAUGUUGUACUCUCUGAAUAUGAUGAUGUAGAUUGCAAUGCAUCUUGGAAACAGUAGUCAAUUAACAGCAACAGCGUUCAAUACGCUUUAUGAAAAGUACUACCUUUCCCAUAAUGCUACAGCUUACAAGAGGACCCGGAAGUCGCAUGAAAUUCAAACUGCCACACUUGACGACGCGUGAUCUUUGUUUUGUCUUUAUAUAAUACUGUAAGGUAAGUUAAGAUACUUUUCUUUUUAAACCUACAUAGAUUUCACUCGUUGUUCUACAGCGAGUUACAUGAAUGUUUUUUCUGUUUAUUUGCUAUUCUUUUCUGUGAUGUUUUUUUAUUUCUAUGUUAGGCUAUAUAUUCUUAUUUGCCAUUUAAAGUAUAACGAUAAACAUGCAGGCUUACAGUGAGCUAAACAAUUUUCAUAAAGAGGAUGUUAAAAAAAUCUUUAAGAUGUUCGAUCUUUACAAAAUAAAUUAAUGCUCAGCCCACAAAGAUGCCAACCGAAGAUCAAAUGUUUUGUGUACAAAACAAAAAAAUCGACACUUUUUGGAAAUACUGUUGUAAAGGAAUUUAAUACCUAAGAAUCAUAAAUUAGCGUUUGUCUUACAAAAAAAAUUUAAACAUUAUUGUGCUUUGUUUGCAGAAGUCAUGUACCACACAUUGUCAAACCUGAAGAAGUGUAUCUUCCUGCAAUCUGAAGGCUCCAGACCUGGAGAUUGAAGUUCCUAAAGGUUGAUGUUUAUCAAGCUUGUGACCUUAUCACAUGGCGUUAUUUUUUUUACAUUUAUAUAUCUAAUACACAUUUGCACAUCUGUAAACAUAAAUUUAAUAUUUUGUGGGCUAUUUUUUAUUUUAUUUAACCAGUUGUUGUAUAUUGAAAUAUGUUACAUUUUAUGCACUCCAAAUGUAAAUGUUUUGUUUUAAUUGCAUCUUUAUUGUUUAAAACAAUUUAAUUAAUGUGGGUUUUUGUUAGCUUUUAUGUUAUUUUUGUAUUUUUUGGCUAUUUAUUUGUUUUUGUUUUUUAUUAUCCUUCUGUUAAUUUGCCAGAUUUUGACCUUCUAUUUGUUUUUCCUGUAAUCUCACUUCAAUUAUUUUUUGUGUUUCUCAAUGAUACAUUUUUGUCACAGUCCCAAUUUGUUCCUGCUUGUUUCUCCACUGUCAGGUGAGGAUAAUAACAAACACAGUUCAGGUGAGAGAGUGAAAAGGAUUAUGGGAAAUGAAGUCCAAAUGGAUGAUGAACGGGGAACCGUUCAUCAUCCAUUUGGACUUCAUUUCCCAUAAUCCUUUUCACUCUCUCACCUGAACUGUGUUUGUUAUUAUCCUCACCUGACAGUCAUCCCCCUCAUCACUCCAUUGUCUAAAUACCCUGCUUUUCCCUUUGUCUAGGUCAGUUCUUGUUUAUAGUGAUGUGUUGGGUGUUUUGCUGUUUACCAGUUUCCAUGUUCCUUGUUUUAUAUUAAUUAAAGAUUAUAAUUUUGGAUUCAU
Non-coding RNA from Misgurnus anguillicaudatus (oriental weatherfish), 2482 nucleotides. NCBI's taxonomy places the organism in Eukaryota, Metazoa, Chordata, Actinopteri, Cypriniformes, Cobitidae. The record is from RefSeq and is a predicted model, not a curated record.